GACAGAGGUGCCGAGCGUUAGGCGGAAUCACUGGGCUUAAAGCGUGUGUAGGCGGGUCGUUAAGUGUCUUGUGAAAUCCCCCGGCUCAACCGGGGAAUGGCUGGGCAUACUGGCGAUCUUGAGCAGUCUAGGGGCAGAUGGAACAAGUGGUGGAGCGGUGAAAUGCGUAGAGAUCGGAAAGAACACCAACGGCGAAAGCACUCUGCUGGGCCGACACUGACACUGAGAGACGAAAGCUAGGGGAGCGAAUGGG
RNAcentral lists this ribosomal RNA (253 nucleotides) under uncultured bacterium. Its description in RNAcentral is "partial 16S ribosomal RNA". It matches the Rfam family "Bacterial small subunit ribosomal RNA", at positions 524 to 776 of the family's 1533-position model. The record is from RNAcentral.